RNAcentral lists this long non-coding RNA (1481 nucleotides) under Phocoena sinus (vaquita). RNAcentral describes it as "lncRNA (ENSPSNG00000006712.1)". The record is from RNAcentral. Lineage: Eukaryota; Metazoa; Chordata; Mammalia; Artiodactyla; Phocoenidae.
GGGCCUUCUCUGCAGUAUUAGCCCCCUUUUUGCCCAGUGAUGCUCUGUCUGCGCCUGUAUGUGUGUGACAGUCACUUUUGCAUGCCUUUUGUGUCUGGCUCCCAGCAUUUGGGGACAGGAUGCUGGAACCAGAGCAUUUUCAGCUUGUCUGAGGCUUGUUUGCCAAUUAUAGGUCACUCCUGUUUACCUGGUAUGUCUGCUUUCUUAACUUCUUUUCCUUGCCUUCUCCUGGGAGAGGGAGGAUUCCUGAUUGGGGUUGAGUUGACCUGCACGUAGCUCAUUGCCUUUUCCCCUGCAUGGCCUUCUUAGAGCAGGACAAGUGGCAUAUUAUUUCACUAAGUUCCCAAACAUCUAAGCAAGUAACACAUUCCCUGCAGAUCCAGAAACAGGCUCAACAAGGUUAUGUUUGACUUGCCCAAGAGUACCUAGCUGCUAGUGGGGAAAGCAAGCCAUUACUGCCUCUGUUCAGCAGCAGGAAUAGGCUGUGAAUUGCUAGCAAUUACUGUUUUGUUUUGCUUUUUUAGCAGUUACUUUUUGGCUUGUUCCAUAACCUUAAAAGCAAGGGGCAUACGUCUUUCCCAGACAUAGGCUGGAAUCUGCAGCUUCUGAGGUGCCACACACCGUAUAGCUCUGCAUUCUCAGCGUGGAGGGACUUGUAGAAACCAAGUGAUCUGAGCUGUUACUGCCCACCCCUGGCUUUCCAGGAUAGAAAAUUCAUGGUAGGAAUAACUGUUCAGAGAAAGUACUUGGAACUACAGGUUAAUAAGAAAGCCUGCAUAAUUAACAUAUCUGUACCCAGAGCAGCCACCAUGACUUGUCUAUCAGCAGGAAAAUGAUUUGUAUUGAGUUCCUGUGUGUCCAAAGCUGAGGCACCAUGUCCUUUGAAAAUAUGCACUGCACUGCACUGCUUCUAUUUAUGGGGACCUGUGGCUGCAGAGCUGGCUCCUGAGUUGGGAAGGAGAGGGAAGGAUGCAGCUGGAAGUGACUGAAGAUGAUGUGGUAGUGGGAAAAGGCAGAAUUAAGGGAGAAAAGAGUGUGGGUCAGAGAGGCUGAGGAGCACCAGGGCUGCCAGGACACCCUCAGUAGGAGCCAGAGGUGCUUAAGCUCUCCUGGGGGUGGGGGGCGCACCACGCUCUCAAGAGUCAGGGCCAAAGCCUCUGAUUUACAUGUGACAGUGACAUUGCACUGCUCAACCACCAGCCAGUGGGGUUUUUUUUUUUUUUUUUAAGAAAACCGUUGCAAUCAUAAUUAAUGCUUAUUAAGAAAAAUCUGGGACUUUUAAAAAGAAUCAGUUUGCCACCAAAAUGUUACCACUGCUAAUCUUUUGGUGUUUAGUGUUCCUCUAGACAUUUCUGUGCAUAGAUUUUUGGUGUGUUUACAUAGUUGUUAUUCUACUGUAUAUACAAUUUUAUGUCCUUUUUGUACUUAACAUAUAAACGUUUUUUCCAUGUUAUCUGUCUUAAACAGAAUUUUAUGGCUGC